CCAGUAACACGUAGUCAACAUGCCCAGGGGACGUGGAUAACCUCGGGAAACUGAGGAUAAACCGCGAUAGGUCACUACUUCUGGAAUGGGUAAUGACCCAAACCUAUAUGGCCCCUGGAUUGGACUGCGGCCGAUCAGGCUGUUGGUGAGGUAAUGGCCCACCAAACCUGUAACCGGUACGGGCUCUGAGAGGAGGGGCCCGGAGAUGGGCACUGAGACAAGGGCCCAGGCCCUAUGGGGCGCAGCAGGCGCGAAACCUCUGCAAUAGGCGAAAGCUUGACAGGGUUACUCUGAGUGAUUUCCGUUAAGGAGAUCUUUUGGCACCUCUAAAAAUGGUGCAGAAUAAGGGGUGGGCAAGUCUGGUGCCAGC
RNAcentral lists this ribosomal RNA (370 nucleotides) under unidentified archaeon. Its description in RNAcentral is "bacterial SSU rRNA". It matches the Rfam family "Archaeal small subunit ribosomal RNA", at positions 90 to 462 of the family's 1478-position model. The record is from RNAcentral.